UCCAAAGGGAGGGUAUUUGGAAACCU
This 26-nucleotide non-coding RNA is filed under the name Mus musculus (house mouse). The record is from RNAcentral. Lineage: Eukaryota; Metazoa; Chordata; Mammalia; Rodentia; Muridae.